AACGAACGCUGGCGGCAUGCCUAACACAUGCAAGUCGAACGAGACCUUCGGGUCUAGUGGCGCACGGGUGCGUAACGCGUGGGAACCUGCCCUUAGGUUCGGAAUAACUCCCCGAAAGGGGUGCUAAUACCGGAUAAUGUCUUCGGACCAAAGAUUUAUCGCCUUUGGAUGGGCCCGCGUUGGAUUAGCUAGUUGGUAGGGUAAAAGCCUACCAAGGCGACGAUCCAUAGCUGGUCUGAGAGGAUGAUCAGCCACACUGGGACUGAGACACGGCCCAGACUCCUGCGGGAGGCAGCAGUGGGGAAUAUUGGACAAUGGGCGAAAGCCUGAUCCAGCAAUGCCGCGUGAGUGAUGAAGGCCUUAGGGUUGUAAAGCUCUUUUACCCGGGAUGAUAAUGACAGUACCGGGAGAAUAAGCGCCGGCUAACUCCGUG
This 433-nucleotide ribosomal RNA is filed under the name uncultured bacterium. RNAcentral describes it as "partial 16S ribosomal RNA". It matches the Rfam family "Bacterial small subunit ribosomal RNA", at positions 29 to 507 of the family's 1533-position model. The record is from RNAcentral.